GUCCAGCUGACGAGUCCAAAAUAGGACGAAACGCUCGUCCUGGAU
Non-coding RNA from Schistosoma mansoni, 45 nucleotides. The record is from Rfam. NCBI's taxonomy places the organism in Eukaryota, Metazoa, Platyhelminthes, Trematoda, Strigeidida, Schistosomatidae.